This 482-nucleotide ribosomal RNA is filed under the name uncultured bacterium. RNAcentral describes it as "bacterial SSU rRNA". It matches the Rfam family "Bacterial small subunit ribosomal RNA", at positions 28 to 502 of the family's 1533-position model. The record is from RNAcentral.
GACGAACGCUGGCGGCGUGGAUUAGGCAUGCAAGUCGAACGGUAUCAUCCUUUCGGGGAUGAGAGAGUGGCGAACGGGUGAGUAACACGUAGGUGAUCUACCCUCAAGACGGGGACAACCCAGGGAAACUUGGGCUAAUACCGGAUGUGAGCUAUCGUGAGAUAGUUUGAAGGGUGGCUUCGGCUGCCGCUUGAGGAUGAGCCUGCGUCCUAUUAGCUAGUUGGUGAGGUAACGGCUCACCGAGGCAGUGAUAGGUAGGCGGCCUUAACGGGUGGUCGCCCACACUGGGAUUGAGAUAUGGCCCAGACUCCUACGGGAGGCAGCAGUCGAGAAUAGUCUACAAUGGUCGAAAGACUGAUAGUGCGACGCCGCGUGAACGAAGAAGCCCUUCGGGUGUAAAGUUCUUUUAUAUGUGAGCAGUGACAUCUAUAUUAAUAGUAUGGGUGUAGAGAUAUUAGCAUAUGAAUAAGCAACGGCUAACU